UUCCCGCAACAUCCUUCCGGCAACAUUUGAAGGCUCAUUACAGCUGAGGGAUAAUACUAUUAUACAUAUACAUAGAAAGGCCGGUCCUCGCUUAUCUCUCUCAAUUGAUCAAGCACGCAUAUGUUCUUCUCUCAAAGGCCAAGAUUGGUGGUUUUUAGUCCAAAAAUAGAAGAACAGAUGCGGGAAUUGCUAAACGUGAAGGAGACCUCUGAGGAAUUGCUAAAAAAUGAAGGCCCACCUCCUGUCUAUCUCCUAAGAAUUGCAAAAUGUGAAGGAGCUUAGGUUUUAUUGCUCUUCAUCAAGUGAGAUUUAAAGAGGGGUAGUGCUGAUAUGGAGCCACAUCAAGUUAGUUCUAUUGAAUGUCUUCUUUUGAACUUACCUACAAGUGUAAAGAACAGCUUCAUCAAGUGAGAUUUAAAGAGGGGCAAUGCUGAUAUGGAGCCACAUCAAGUUAGUUCUAUUGAAUGCCUUCUUUUGAACUUACCUACAAGUGUAAAGAACAAGUCAGCCUCUGUAUACAAACUAAGUGUUGGAGGCAAGAGGACUUGGGGUUGAUUUCAGGAUUCAUGCAAUCACAAUACCAGCUUGCAAUUUAGUGAAGUUGAAGUUGCAGUUCCAUUCUACCAGGAAUUUCUGCAUUUGAACUAAACUCUAUUCCAACAUGGGUCAUUUGGGGUUAGGUGCUUUUUGUGCACUUAUUGUAAAACCUGCUUUUAGAUAUUAAUAUUUUGUUUCUUUUGGAUAGAUUCUCAUUGAUAGUUGACAAUUUUGGAUUGUCAAUUGGUUUCAAGCACUUCCUAUUGUAUGGCUCAAGAUAUUGAAAA
Long non-coding RNA from Coffea arabica (coffee), 824 nucleotides. RefSeq lists it as uncharacterized. NCBI's taxonomy places the organism in Eukaryota, Viridiplantae, Streptophyta, Magnoliopsida, Gentianales, Rubiaceae. The record is from RefSeq and is a predicted model, not a curated record.